UACGAAGGGGGCUAGCGUUGUUCGGAAUUACUGGGCGUAAAGCGAACGUAGGCGGUGUUCCAUGUCAGAGGUGAAAGCCUGGGGCUCAACUCCAGAAUUGCCUUUGAAACGGGGACGCUUGAGUCCGAGAGAGGGUGGCGGAAUUCCUAGUGUAGAGGUGAAAUUCGUAGAUAUUAGGAAGAACACCAGUGGCGAAGGCGGCCACCUGGCUCGGUACUGACGCUCAGGUUCGAAAGCGUGGGAGCAAACAGG
RNAcentral lists this ribosomal RNA (252 nucleotides) under uncultured bacterium. RNAcentral describes it as "partial 16S ribosomal RNA". It matches the Rfam family "Bacterial small subunit ribosomal RNA", at positions 524 to 776 of the family's 1533-position model. The record is from RNAcentral.